Molecule: ribosomal RNA, 407 nt
Filed under: uncultured bacterium
Lineage: Bacteria
Description: partial 16S ribosomal RNA
Rfam family: Bacterial small subunit ribosomal RNA
Source: RNAcentral
AUUGAACGCUGGCGGCGGGCCUAACACAUGCAAGUCGAGCGGAGCCGCAGCCGAGUACGUCAUACCUAGGCAUAUGCAUGGUAGUCUGCGAUAACGUUCGGAAACGGACACUAAUACCGCAUACUAUCAGAUGAGCCUAGGUCGGAUUAGCUAGUUGGUGAGGUAAUGGCUCACCAAGGCUACGAUCCGUAACUGGUCUGAGAGGAUGAUCAGUCACACUGGAACUGAGACACGGUCCAGACUCCUACGGAGGGCAGCAGUGGGGAAUAUUGGACAAUGGGCGAAGUCUUGCUGCGGCAAUGCGGCGGGUGUGAAAAAGGUCUACGGUUGGUAAAGCGUUUGAAGUGGGAGGGCGUUACCGGCAGAGUAAGCACCGGCUAACUAUGUGCCAGCAGCCGCGGUAAUAC